GGAUCAUUAAAGAGUUCUAUAACUCCCAAACCCAUGUGAACAUACCUAACGUUGCCUCGGCAGGUCGCACCUACCUUGUAGCACCCUACCCUGUAGGGCCUACCCGGGAGGUGCGGGUAAGCCUGCCGGCGGCCCACCAAACUCUGUUUGAUAUUGAAUUCUGAACCUAUAACUAAAUAAGUUAAAACUUUCAACAACGGAUCUCUUGGUUCUGGCAUCGAUGAAGAACGCAGCGAAAUGCGAUAAGUAAUGUGAAUUGCAGAAUUCAGUGAAUCAUCGAAUCUUUGAACGCAUAUUGCGCCCAUUAGUAUUCUAGUGGGCAGGACCGUUCGAGCGUCAUUUCAACCCUUAAGCCUUCGUUGCUUAGUGUUGGGAGCCUACGGCAACGUAGCUCCUCAAAGUUAGUGGCGGAGUUGGUUCACACUCUAGACGUAGUAAUUUUUUAUCUCGCCUAUUAGUUGGACUAAUCCCCUGCCGUAAAACCCCCAAUUUAUCAAGGUUGACCUCGAAUCGGUUCAGACAAACUCGCUAAAUUGAAGCAUCUUAGUCAGCGAAGGAAAAGAAACCAACAGGGAUUGCCCUAGUAACGGCGAGUGAAGCGGCAACAGCUCAAAUUUGAAAUCUGGCCCUCGGGUCCGAGUUGUAAUUUGUAGAGGAUGCUUUUGGCGCGGUGCCUUCCGAGUUCCCUGGAACGGGACGCCUU
This 703-nucleotide ribosomal RNA is filed under the name fungal endophyte. RNAcentral describes it as "eukaryotic LSU rRNA". The stretch from base 186 to 339 matches the Rfam family "5.8S ribosomal RNA". Lineage: Eukaryota; Fungi. The record is from RNAcentral.